AUUGAACGCUGGCGGCAGGCCUAACACAUGCAAGUCGAGCGGAUGAAGGGAGCUUGCUCCUGGAUUCAGCGGCGGACGGGUGAGUAAUGCCUAGGAAUCUGCCUGGUAGUGGGGGAUAACGUCCGGAAACGGGCGCUAAUACCGCAUACGUCCUGAGGGAGAAAGUGGGGGAUCUUCGGACCUCACGCUAUCAGAUGAGCCUAGGUCGGAUUAGCUAGUUGGUGGGGUAAAGGCCUACCAAGGCGACGAUCCGUAACUGGUCUGAGAGGAUGAUCAGUCACACUGGAACUGAGACACGGUCCAGACUCCUUAGGGAAGCAGCAGUGGGGAAUAUUGGACAAUGGGCGAAAGCCUGAUCCAGCCAUGCCGCGUGUGUGAAGAAGGUCUUCGGAUUGUAAAGCACUUUAAGUUGGGAGGAAGGGCAGUAAGUUAAUACCUUGCUGUUUUGACGUUACCAACAGAAUAAGCACCGGCUAACUUCGUG
Molecule: ribosomal RNA, 484 nt
Filed under: uncultured bacterium
Lineage: Bacteria
Description: partial 16S ribosomal RNA
Rfam family: Bacterial small subunit ribosomal RNA
Source: RNAcentral